RNAcentral lists this ribosomal RNA (253 nucleotides) under uncultured bacterium. Its description in RNAcentral is "partial 16S ribosomal RNA". It matches the Rfam family "Bacterial small subunit ribosomal RNA", at positions 524 to 776 of the family's 1533-position model. The record is from RNAcentral.
UGCGUAGGGUGCAAGCGUUAAUCGGAAUUACUGGGCGUAAAGCGUGCGCAGGCGGCUUUGCAAGACAGAUGUGAAAUCCCCGGGCUCAACCUGGGAACUGCAUUUGUGACUGCAUGGCUAGAGUGCGGCAGAGGGGGAUGGAAUUCCGCGUGUAGCAGUGAAAUGCGUAGAUAUGCGGAGGAACACCGAUGGCGAAGGCAAUCCCCUGGGCCUGCACUGACGCUCAUGCACGAAAGCGUGGGGAGCAAACAGG